AAAUACAUUUUUUUUUAUUUUUUAUAGGCUUAUUUUGAUAAUUUUUUAUUUUUCUAUUUUUAUAUUAUUGUUUAUGAUAAAUUUUUGCAAACUACCAAUGAACACAGCAAUUGUAGUAUUAUUUGGUAUAUAUAUACAACAACAUUUAAGAAAUCAGUUGAGAUUUUGAGCAUUACUUAAUAACUUAAGAUACUGAUUUAAUUAAAUUUUGUUUAAUUUUAAUAUUGGUUUGUUUCUUUUUAAUAGAACCCAUGCUUUGUAAAGGUUAAUGUUAUACUUUUGUAAAAAUGGUAUAUCCGUAAAAUAAAUAACUAAAUAUAAAAUAAAUGAUGAAAAUGAAUAAAUUUCUGACACCUCUUCAGAAAUAAUUACACACUGUUGAAAACAUAUUCGUUAGUCUGAUUCAAAAGACUAAUUCGAUUCUUGGUGCAGCAUAUUAUGUAGCUCAACUUACUUCUCUUUCUUUUUGUUUCAGAAAUAAAGAACAAUGUCAGUUGGGUUAGUUUCUGAAACAGCGUAAAAGAAGAGGUUAUGUUGUUUUGAUGCCAGAAGAGGUUAGUUUCCUGAAGCACCAUAAAUCAUUGAUUUACUAAUCAGGCAUACUUAAGAGUACUGCAUUCAAUAAUUAGAAAUUAGGAGCGACACCAGAAUAAGUAAACACCAUAAAUAUAAAUCAUUAAUGUAUUACUAAUCAAGCAUACAGUUCGUUCAGUAUGGAUACCGUUACCUAAUAAAUAAAGUGAUAAGCGCGCUAAUAGCCGGCAAAAUAACGCAAAAGAUAAAAAGAAAUAAAACUAGUAGAGGUGGGAAGUUUAGCGAUGAAAUCGUAUAAAUUUACAUUAUAUUUAUUGUUUCCCACCUUUAGACGUAUCGGACGAGUUUGGCAACUGCCACUGUGACAGUGACAGUUUUAGUUGACAUACUCCUCUGAUAUGUCUAAAGGUGGAAAACAAUAAAUAUAAUGUGAAUUUAUACGUUUUUAUUGCUAAAUUUCCCAACUCUACUAGUUUCAUUUCUUUUUAUCGCACACAACUAAAUAUGUUUUCCAUCUUUUGCGUUAUUUUGCCGGUUAUUAGCGCGCUCAUCACUGUUUAUCUUUUAUGUACAGUUUUUAUAUGUAUUCGAAUGUCUUUUUGUUCAUCACAGAUAACGCAAAAUCUAUUGCUAAUACAGUAAAACCUCGAUAUAACGGACCUCUAUUUAACGGAAUUCUAAUAUAACAGACAAAGAAUCCGGUCAAAUGUAAAAAAAAAUCAUUAUUCUCUGAUAUCCGCCCCUUCUUAUGUGAGGGGCGGCGACGGCUUCAAAUAUUUAUCUGUGAUGAACUAGAACAUGUAUCCUAGCACAUGUAUCCUAGCUCCUGAUCGAUUCCCUUUAAAAAAAAUGUUUUGCAUGCGUUACACUUAAAAUUUCUAGCCCUAAUAGAUUUAUGAACAUUCUUAAUGUGUUCCAAUGUCGUAAUUUUUUUUCAUCACAAUUAACGCAAAAUCUACUACUAUUCGAGUCAUUACUCUCUUAUAUCCGCCCCUCUUUAUGUGGGGGGGGGGGCGGCAAGGAAUUUAAAAUAUUUAUCUGUGAUGAACUAAACACGUGCUAGAUGCUCCCGAGCGAUUCCCUUUAAAAAUAAUGUUUUACUACGUGCGUUACACUCAAAAUUUCUAGCCCUAAUUGAUUUAUGAUCAUUUUUAACAUGUGUUUCAAUGUCUAAUUUUUUUUCGUCACAAUUAACGCAAAACCUACUACUCUUCGAGUCAUUAUUCUCUGAUAUCCGCCCCUCUAUGUGAGGGGCGGCGAGGGCUUCAAAUAUUUAUCUGUGAUGAACUAGAACACGUGCUAGGGUGCUGCCGAGCCAUUCCCUUUAAAACAAUGUUUUAACCACAUGCGUUACAGAUAAAAUUUCUAGCCCUAAUAGAUUUAUGAACAUUCUUAAUGUGUUCCAAUGUCGUAAUUUUUUUUCAUCACAAUUAACGCAAAAUCUACUACUAUUCGAGUCAUUAUUCUCUUAUAUCCGCCCCUCUUUAUGUGGGGGGGGGGCAAGGAAUUUAAAAUAUUUAUCUGUGAUGAACUAAACACGUGCUAGAUGCUCCCGAGCGAUUCCCUUUAAAAAUAAUGUUUUACUACGUGCGUUACACUCAAAAUUUCUAGCCCUAAUUGAUUUAUGAUCAUUUUUAACAUGUGUUUCAAUGUCUAAUUUUUUUCGUCACAAUUAACGCAAAAUCUACAACUAUUCGAGUCAUUAUUCUCUGAUAUCCGCCCCUCUAUAUGAGGGGCGGCGAGGGCUUCAAAUAUUUAUCUGUGAUGAACUAGAACACGUGCUAGGAUGCUCCCGAGCCAUUCCCUUUAAAACAAUGUUUUAACCACAUGCGUUACAGAUAAAAUUUCUAGCCCUAAUAGGUUUAUGAACAUUCUUAAUGUGUUGCAAUGUCUAAUUUUUUUUUAUCACAAUUAACGCAAAAUCUACAACUAAUACGGUCAUUAUUCUCUGAUAUCCGCCCCGAUGUGGAUGGAGUUUCUGCGAUCGUUUUUUGGCGAGCGAUUCCCUUAAAAAAAAAGUUUUAGGGCAUACAUCAUUAUUCUUUGAUAUCCGCCCCUCUCUAUGUGAGCAUGAGGCUUUUACUGUGGUCGAUGUGUGUGCGAAAUUCUAAAAAAGAACAGACUUAUCACUUAAAUAUUUCGUGUUGGUAUCAUGUGACGUCACAUGCUAUGACACGGAUGACGUUCAACGGUAUUUAUAUUGUACGGUCUGUAUACUCCCACAAAAUCACACAAUAUUCGGGAUUAUUUAAUAAACAAAAAUUAAUUAAGCAAAAUUUACUGUAGCAUGUAUAUGUUACAGUUCAAGUUGAUUCUCAGUUAGAGUCGACUCCAACUAGUUGGAGUCAACUCCAACUGAAACGAGCAGUAAAAGUUGAUUUUAAAAAUUUAAAUCAACUUGUACUAGUUGGAGUUGACUCUUCCUGGAUCGAUUCAGUAAAUGUUGAUUAUACGAGAAUCUCAAGUGCAUUUUUGAUGAGUGUGCGUUUCUUUGUCUUGACCGUUUUAACUACUUAUUAGUAGAGUCUGUAACGUCGUCCCCGUUAGGUUAAUUAUUCUGAUUCGAUUUUUUGCACAAACUUACUCAAAGAAAUACAUCCGUAUAACAAUCCUUAUAACAAAUACACAGAGUGUCACGCGGUACCGCGGUCGAUAAAUUGUUUAACCAAUUUUUGUUAAAUUUACAAAAAUAAUUUUUAUCUACUUUAUCUCAUAUUAUGUAAGUAAAGGUUUUAUUGUGUGAAAAUUGUAAAUAUAGAUAGCAGUACAUGAAGGGCUUAAAGUGUGUCUGAAGUAACAAUGUAUUUUAAAUGGCUUUUAAUUUUUCGCAUUGUUUUUUAGCACACUUUCAUAUAAUUAAACAUCCUUAACUUUCGCCUUCGGGAGGAAAUCCGACUCGCCCUUGCAACGGCAACUGAAAUGCUCACAAAACAGCGACCACGGAAGCAAAGAUGGAUGACAAAGGAAAUAUUGGAUUUAAUGGAUAAAAGAAGAAAAUUCAAACAGCACAAAGCAAUGUACAAAGCAUUAAAUAGAACCAUUAAACAAAAAAUAAAAAUUGCAAAAGAAAAAUGGAUAACAGAACAAUGUGAAGAAAUCGAAAACUUAUAUAAAAAACAUGAUGACUUCCAUCUGUAUAAGAAACUCAGGAAUUCACAGGCACGACAUAUUCACAAGGACUAAAUAAUCUAAUCAAGGCAAACUGAUUUCAAGCCCUGAAGAACAAAUAAACAUGUGGGAAGACUAUAUAAAGGAACUCUUCUAUCACAUCAGAGAACCUCCUACAUUAAAUACCGAAAACGAUGAAGGUCUUCCAAUACUGAAGUCCGAACUGAAAUAUGCUCUACGUCAACUAAAAAACAACAAAUCUGUAGGAUGAAAAACCAGCUGAGCUGUUGAAGUUAAUCAACGAGAAAACUUAGACCUUCUUCUUGGACUAUUUAAUAAUGUUUACAAUACAGGGACUAUCCCUAAAACAUGGCUUGAAUCAGUCUUCAUACCACUACCUAAAAAGAAUAAUGCCAAAUUAUUCCAGGACUUCCGCCUUAUAAGUCUAUUAAAUAACAUUCUAAAGCUUUUCUUGCGUAUCAUACAGAACAGAAUAUACAGUAGAGUCUCGGUUAUCCGCCCUUCAUUUAUCCGCCGUUCCGUUUUAUCCGCCGCUCCAUUUAAGUAAUAAUUUUUUUUUCAAAUUUAUAUAACUUUGAAAAUAUUAAGCGAGCGGCCGUGGAGUAACGGCAUAAUCGCUGGCCUCAUACGCCAGUGCACGUGGGUUCGAGCCCUGCCAAAGACAAACCAUUUUCAUUUCCAAUAAUGACACGAGCCCACUCACUGUGCCUCGGAGAGCACGUUAAGCCGUCGGGCCCCCUGGGCUAGUGUACAUCGACAUUAGUUACUUGAAACAGGGUUAAAUAUGUAAUUGGCGCCGGAACUGUCCGAAAGGCAAAAAGUCAUACGAUAUUAUACAGUGAGCACGUAAAGGUUGGAAUAAAUUUAUUUUCUCGAGAAUUGACGAUUUUGGAAAAAAAUCCCGAAACAGGUCCAUUUUUAUUUUUAUAUUGCGCCUUUUUGGCAUAUAUAUCAUACUAGUGACGUCACCCGUCUGGGCGUGAUGACGUCAUCUACGUUUUUUUAAAUGAGAAUAGGGGUCACGUGAUAGCUCAUUUAAAAGGUAAUUCAAUUUUCUAUUCAGUAAUAUAAACAUUAACAUUAUUAUUUAUACAGGGUGUCCAAAAAAUAUUUUUUUUGAAUUAAAUUUUUUGACAAAAAGAAGAAUGUGUGUAAUUUAUUUAACUCAUAAUACUUUUUACUCCUAUCAGAAAACAGGAAAUAAUGUGUGUUUGACAAAUAAAAAUAUUGUUUUUUGCUUAAAUUCAGUAUUAAAGCAGCCACCCACCUUCCUCUUGACAGUUUGAACAUUUAAUUUAAGCGAAAAGCAAUGAUUAUUUUUCAAAUAAACAAUUUAUUCUGUUUUAUGAGAGCAGUAAAAUGUAUUUUGAAUUAAAUAAAUUACUUGCAUUCUUCUUUUUAUGUCAGUAAAUUUAAUCAAAAAAAUAAAAAAAAUUGGGCAGCUGUAUAAAAAAAUUAUGUUAUUAGUUAUAUUAUUGAAUAGAGAAUUGAAUUACCUUUCAAAUGAGCUGUCACAAGACCCCUAUUCCCAUUUAAAAAAAUCAUCGAUGACGUCAUCACGCCCAGAUGGGUGACGUCACUAGUGGCACAUGGUAUAUAUGCCAAAAAGUCGUAAUUUAAAAAUAAAAAUUGACCUGUUUCGGGAUUUCUUUCUAAAAUCGUCCAUUCGCGAGAAAAUGAAUUUAUUCCAACCUUUACGUGCUCACUGUAUAUUAUGAAAGUCAGAAACUAAAAAAAUCAAAGAUAAAAGCUACCUCUAUAAGAUCCUGAAGAAAUUUUUGUCAUUAUUUCAUUAAUGAGAUAUUAUUUCUAAUUAUCAACAAUGAGCGCUAAGCGCGUAUUGAGGCGGCCGUCAAUGUGAGUGCGAGUGAGAUUCACCAUUGGACGGCCCAAAUGGUGCAUCUCUUUAGCACUCACCAUUGUCGGCCGUCUAAUACACACUUAGCCCUCAUUGUUAAUAAUUAAAGAUAAAGCUUAGUAAUAAAAUAGUGACAAAAAUUUCUGCUGGAUCUUGUAGAGGGGGCUAUAAACUUUGAUUUGGUCACUUUCUGACUUUUAUAAUAAUAAUUAUAAAUUAAUUUUAAUUUUAAUUUGGAUUUUAACCGAGUUAUUAAGCCUUGAAAAUGGCUAUUUUUGCAUUUUUCAAAUUUUAAAUCGCGUAUAACUCGACAACAAUCAAUUUUAGAGAAAAAUCACAAAAUACCUUUUUUUGCUCAGAAUAACUCAAAUGAUCUAAAAAAAAUUGUUCGAAGUGAAAAAAUUAUUUUUGUGAAUUUGUCUAAAAAAAAUUGUUUAAACAAUUUAUCGAUCAAGGUACUGCCUGGCACCCGGUAGAUUUGUUAUAAGGACCUCUUUUUGAGUAAGUUUGUGCAAAAAAUUCGAAUCGGAGUAAUUUCACUAACGGGGACGACGACACAGCCUAGACUAAUUUGAACAUAUUCAGUAACAUUAAUUUAAUUUCUAGAAUCGGCUGUUUGUGUGAAUCAGAAUCAACUUUUACUAAAUGGCAUUGGGAAGAGUAUACUUUUCCUAGUUGGAGUCUACUUUUACUAGUAAAUGUUGAAUAUAAAUAUUCAUUUUAUAUUUAUAAUCAACUUUUACUGAAACCAGCCGUUAGAGUCGACUCCAACUAGUUGGAGUCAACUCCAACUGGAUAAUCAACUUGAACUGUAACAUAUACAUUAUUAAAUAGAUAAGUUAACAUCCUUUCCUGUAUUUAUUCUUUUAAUACAGAACAUUGCAACUAGUUGUAAUAUUAUAUUAAAUAAACAAUAUGCUUCUUA
Molecule: long non-coding RNA, 6446 nt
Organism: Diabrotica virgifera virgifera (western corn rootworm)
Lineage: Eukaryota; Metazoa; Arthropoda; Insecta; Coleoptera; Chrysomelidae
Exons: 3
Source: RefSeq, a predicted model, not a curated record